GCGGCCGUAGACCAUGGUGGUCGUCCUCUACUCGUGGUCAAGAUAUAGCGAUCAGGCGGAAAGCGGAGGUUCGAUUCCUCCCGGCCGUA
This is a non-coding RNA of Mycena polygramma, 89 nucleotides long. NCBI's taxonomy places the organism in Eukaryota, Fungi, Basidiomycota, Agaricomycetes, Agaricales, Mycenaceae. The record is from the annotation of a GenBank genome assembly.